Molecule: non-coding RNA, 24 nt
Filed under: Cricetulus griseus (Chinese hamster)
Lineage: Eukaryota; Metazoa; Chordata; Mammalia; Rodentia; Cricetidae
Also listed under: 1 other name
Source: RNAcentral
UGCCAUGAUGAUAAUGAACUGAAC